CGAAAGCCUGACGGAGCAACGCCGCGUGGGGGAUGAAGGCCUCUGGGCUGUAAACCUCUUUUCUCAAGGAAGAAGAUCUGACGGUACUUGAGGAAUAAGCCACGGCUAAUUCCGUGCCAGCAGCCGCGGUAAUACGGGAGUGGCAAGCGUUAUCCGGAAUUAUUGGGCGUAAAGCGUCCGCAGGCGGCCCUGUAAGUCUGUCGUUAAAGCGUGGAGCUUAACUCCAUUUAAGUGAUGGAAACUACAGGGCUGGAGUGUGGUAGGGGCAGAGGGAAUUCCCGGUGUAGCGGUGAAAUGCGUAGAUAUCGGGAAGAACACCAGUGGCGAAGGCGCUCUGCUGGGCCAUAACUGACGCUCAUGGACGAAAGCCAGGGGAGCG
This 379-nucleotide ribosomal RNA is filed under the name uncultured cyanobacterium. Its description in RNAcentral is "bacterial SSU rRNA". It matches the Rfam family "Bacterial small subunit ribosomal RNA", at positions 376 to 770 of the family's 1533-position model. The record is from RNAcentral. Lineage: Bacteria; Bacillati; Cyanobacteriota.